This 70-nucleotide transfer RNA is filed under the name Xylella fastidiosa subsp. sandyi Ann-1. RNAcentral's name for it is "tRNA-Und (NNN) (tRNA-Und-NNN-2-1)". The record is from RNAcentral. Lineage: Bacteria; Pseudomonadati; Pseudomonadota; Gammaproteobacteria; Lysobacterales; Lysobacteraceae.
UUGAUUCUGCUAAUUCCCAUCUACCUUGACAUGGUAGGGGUCACAGGUUCGAACCCUGUACCGCCCACCA